AGCCUCCCCUUUUCUCCAGCCGAACUAAGCCAAACUCCUUUGGCCAUGGCCCCAUCGCAGCCUACAACGGACGCCUUCGUCCCUCAUCGUCGAUUUACAACCCUGCGAUUUCUCCUCCACCUUCGACUUCAACGAGGCGAGGAAGAACCAAUGGCGGAUUUGCGAGGUAAGGUUUCGCCCUUCUCUUUUCUUUUAUUUGUUUUCGAAAUAAAAUAAGAAAAAGUAAAACAAAAUACAAAGCAAGAGAAUGACCACAAAGAGAAAGCCCGAAGAUUUAGAUCGAAAAAAUCACCUUCCGAUAUUGGUUUUUUUUGUAUUGUCUAUUGUGUAUUCGUGAAAUAUGCCUUCCUCCUUUUACAAUUGAUAAUCUUUGUGGCUUUAUAGCCGAAAAAAAAGAUCCAAAGAAAAUACAACAAACUUCUAUGCUAUAUGUUUUUUCUCUUUGUCAUGCUGUCUCUUUUGCAUUUGCUCGCAAGUACGAAUGUACAGAGCUUGGUGGUCGUACGGUGCUGCGCUAGCAGUGAGGAAGAAGGGCUGCUUGGUGGCUACUACGGCGCCUAGUAGAAACCCUAGGGUUCUGAGUGCUUAAUGUUUUUGGGCUUGUCGGGCCGUGUAACUUUGGGCUAGGUUUUAGGUUUUUUUGGGCCUUAUUGGGUUGAUGACACUGGGUUUUGUAACUGGACUGUUUGGUUUUAUUUAUUUGUUUUUAAUUUUGGUUUUCGGUUGUUGGGCCCGGGCAGAUUUGGCCCAUUACAAUUAGUACCUAAACUUAUUUACCUCUAUCAGAUUGGUACUUAUGAUUUUUUUUCUAAAUUGGUAUCCAAAUUUUUUUUCCAUCCAUUAGUUUGGUACUAAGCCUAAUGACAUUAAAAUUUUAUUGACGUAGUAGCAUUGGCUACUAAGAUGUUGCCACGUGUCACACUCCCAAAACCCUUUUAUCUUUUCUUUAAUUAAAAAUUAAAAAAAAACAAAAAUUAAGAAAAGGAAACGAUUGAGAUUGCCCAGAUUCAAAGCUUUUUCCCCAGAAAAUAUCAACUGCAACUUCGAUUUUCGUCCUCUUCUUCAUCAAAUUUUCAAUUUUUUUUGUUUUGCUGUUUGGUUGUCAAUUAAUCAUCCUCAAUUUUUAUUUUUCUUCUUCUUUUUGGUUCAAAUCAAAACCCCAUACCCAAAAUCAAAACCCCCAUUUCUCCUUCCUUCCCCUAAUCUCUCACCACCCCCCUCUCUCUCUCAGAUCUUUCUUCGUUUCCUUCUGUAUCUUUAGGGUUUUAAUUUCUUCUUCAUCUUAUCGUUCUUUUAUCUACUAUAUCUAGCUAGGGUUUUUUUUCAUAUUUUUUUUGUUAUGUCGAUUUUUGUAAAUAUGGAUAAACCCAAUGGCAAACUUCAUAACAACUUCUUCUUAUCUUCCUCAAAUUUCUUUCCUCAAUUCCUUCUUUUCUUUUUUGAUUUUCCUCCUAUUGAGUAACUUUUUCUUAUGUCUUAUUGAUGAGAGUAUUCGAGUAUUUAUACAUGCUAUUAUAACUUAUAGCAUGACCCCACUCUCUUGUCUUGACUCCACCAUUCCUAAUACUGACAUUCUGCGCGGAUCUCAGACUUGUUGGACACAUGUUUCACUCUAGGUUGCUUGUGGAGCAUGCGGUCCUUCUUGUUCCUAGAAUUGACAUUCUGUGUGGGCUUUAGGUCUACUGGACACCUAUUUCACUCUAGGUUGCUUGCGGUACACGUGGUCCCCCUUCCACGAGCUCCUUGGACAAGUGCAAACUAGGACUGUGACCUUCGUUUGGCUCGUGUGAGCUAAACUUGCGAGCUUGCCUUGUGAGUUGGGUCUGCGAAAUCCUCUUGAUGUCCUCUCACGGUUCACCUCACCCUUUGUCAUUUGGCGAAGCCUAUUUGGGUCACGAGUGGGUGACCUGGAUCCUAUUUAGGACUCGGGUUGAUGAUUACAAUUGUAUAACACCCCUUUUACUUAAUUAGCUUGAUUUUAUGAUGCGAAAAGAUGAUGAAUUUUGCUUUAAAAGUUCCUUUAUUAUUUUUCCUUCUUGGGUACCAAACAAGUCUUUACUGUUAUCCUGGUUGAUCGCGUCUAUGCUACUAUUUAAUUGCUAAAUUAGUUAAUGAUUUUGCAAAUAAUGCACUUUUUGAUGCAUCCCAAUAUGAAUUUUUUGGUCAAAAUGCUAUGGAAGAUGUGGAGUUAGGGGUCUAGAAGAUGAUGAACAGGAUGCAAAAAGUGGGGUUUCUUAUUAUUAUUCCUUUGUCCUUUUGGUUUUCCUUUAGAAACCCCAAUAUUGGGAUGGGGUUUAACAACGUGAUGGUGAUGAAAGGGAAAGAAAAAAACCAAAGGGAUAAUGGAUAAGUGAUAAGAUGGAUCAACGGGUCAAAGGAGUCUUGGGAGUGUGACAUGUAGCGCGCGAGUGGUCAGUGUUGCCACAUCAGCAAAAUUUUAACGUUGUUAAACUCAGGUUCCAAACUAGUGGACAGAAAAAAAGUUCAGGUACUAAUCUCAGACAAAAAAAACCAUAGUUACCAAUCUAGGAGAAGUAGACAAGUUCUUGUACUAAUUUUAUAUUUAACCAUUAUAUUUAUUAAAACAUUUUUAAAUUUAAAGAUUAAUUUAAAUUAUUGAAUUAAUUUGAUACUCAAUUUUAGAAAAUAAUCAAAAUUAAUAGGAUUAAUUUAUGGAUAAUUAUCUUAGUUUUUCAAUUUUAGAUUAAAAACGCUGAUUUUAGAAAAAUAAAAAUAAAUAAAAAUGUGAU
Molecule: long non-coding RNA, 2750 nt
Filed under: Gossypium barbadense (sea-island cotton)
Lineage: Eukaryota; Viridiplantae; Streptophyta; Magnoliopsida; Malvales; Malvaceae
Description: long non-coding RNA (GBAR_LNC010874)
Source: RNAcentral